CNACAUUAGAGUUUGAUCAUGGCUCAGAAUGAACGCUGGCGGCGUGCUUAACACAUGCAAGUCGAGCGAGGCCUGGGGGGCAACUCCCAGAGUCGAGCGGCGGACGGGUGAGUAACACGUGGGUAACCUGCCCGGAAGUGGGGAAUACCUCGGGGAAACUCGAGCUAAUACCGCAUGACAUCUCGGGACGAAAGUUCUGACGAUCAAAGCGGUGGUCGCAANAUCUCGACGCUACCGAGAUAGGAGCCCGCGCCCGAUUAGCUAGUUCGGUGAGGUAACGGCUCACCAAAUGCUUCGAUCGGUAAACCAGGCCUGAGAGCGGCGAUC
RNAcentral lists this ribosomal RNA (327 nucleotides) under uncultured bacterium. Its description in RNAcentral is "bacterial SSU rRNA". It matches the Rfam family "Bacterial small subunit ribosomal RNA", at positions 1 to 305 of the family's 1533-position model. The record is from RNAcentral.